Molecule: non-coding RNA, 364 nt
Organism: Ictidomys tridecemlineatus (thirteen-lined ground squirrel)
Lineage: Eukaryota; Metazoa; Chordata; Mammalia; Rodentia; Sciuridae
Source: RefSeq, a predicted model, not a curated record
GUACAUCAAGGCUUAAUGAAACGGCAGAGGAAAGCUGUUCAGCUCAUGGCAACAAGGAUGUAAGAGAGAGAGAGAGAGAGAGAGAGAGAGAGAGAGAGAGAGAGAGAGAGAGAGAGAGGAGCCAGAAUAUAGUGAAGAGACAAAAUAUAAUCUCCAAGGGUAGAUCCCCAGUGAACAACUGUUUUCAGCCAAGCCCCCACCUGCCUACAGGUACUACCCAGAAAAACUUUCACUCUGGCUUAUUCCUGCUAUGUGAAAAAGAAGGGCAACUCUGCUGAUAUGUACAUGGAACUAAUGACAAACUUUUAAGAAGCAGCGACAGAACAUAUUCCUGUAUUUGCAUGAAUGAAAAUUCUUGGCAUUA